This 492-nucleotide ribosomal RNA is filed under the name uncultured bacterium. RNAcentral's name for it is "partial 16S ribosomal RNA". It matches the Rfam family "Bacterial small subunit ribosomal RNA", at positions 29 to 507 of the family's 1533-position model. The record is from RNAcentral.
AGUGAACGCUGGCGGUAGGCCUAACACAUGCAAGUCGAACGGCAGCACAGUAAGAGCUUGCUCUUACGGGUGGCGAGUGGCGGACGGGUGAGGAAUACAUCGGAAUCUACUUUUUCGUGGGGGAUAACGUAGGGAAACUUACGCUAAUACCGCAUACGACCUACGGGUGAAAGCAGGGGAUCUUCGGACCUUGCGCGAUUGAAUGAGCCGAUGUCGGAUUAGCUAGUUGGCGGGGUAAAGGCCCACCAAGGCGACGAUCCGUAGCUGGUCUGAGAGGAUGAUCAGCCACACUGGAACUGAGACACGGUCCAGACUCCUACGGGAGGCAGCAGUGGGGAAUAGUGGACAAUGGGCGCAAGCCUGAUCCAGCCAUACCGCGUGGGUGAAGAAGGCCUUCGGGUUGUAAAGCCCUUUUGUUGGGAAAGAAAAGCAGCAGGCUAAUACCCCGCUGUUCUGACGGUACCCAAAGAAUAAGCACCGGCUAACUUCGUG